Molecule: long non-coding RNA, 6627 nt
Filed under: Fragaria vesca (wild strawberry)
Lineage: Eukaryota; Viridiplantae; Streptophyta; Magnoliopsida; Rosales; Rosaceae
Description: long non-coding RNA (FVES_LNC003510)
Source: RNAcentral
GCCUCUCCUCUCUUCUCUUCCUCUCUUCUCAGAUCAGAGCAGAUCUCCUCCUCCAAAAUUAAAUCAAUUUUGGACUCCUUCCUCCAUUGCAGAUAAGAGCAAUUUGUAAUUUUGUAUAUCGCAAAUCUUGAUGGGAGCUUUGAGUUCAAGAAGGUUGGGCUGACUGAGAAAGAUCUCCCUGGAGGUGGUGCAGAGGUGUCGUAUCUCCGCCUCCGUCAUCUACACAUACUUCGUCAUCCAGUCACUCUUCGUCAACACAAGCCGUCAUAUAAGAUUGUCCACAAUCGUCUCUGAGCUCUCACUUCGCUAGAUCGGGUUUCGCCUCUUUCUCACAUACUGGAGCAACCACUUGUUCUUUCUCCUCAACCAAUUCUGGUGCGUUCACUCCUUCCUCUGUUUUUAAAAUUGACAUUUCUCUUCUGUCUUCCUUCUCCUCUGCGCGUAAUCGGUUGAUUAAGUUUUAAUGUGGUUUUUUUUCGGUUGCUCUAGUUUGUAUCGGAAUUGAGCUCUUCUUCUCCAUAAUGGGGGGCAUCGAUUUAAUUCUCUAGGACUAAAAUUGUUUGGUGUUUUGGUCUGUUUUUGUUUGUCUCGGAAUAUUGGCCUAUCUGUUUAAAUGGUCAUAUGUGGGAUGUUAAACGUGAUGACUUUGAUUCAUUAGAAGACUCUAAUGUUGGAAGGCUUGAGAUUGCCAACCUUUCACAUGAUGAAUCUUAAUUGGAGACGUUCUUGUUUGAAGAUGAUGAGUUUGAAGAGAAAAACAUUGCGGAUAAUGAUGUUGUUGAAGCUUGAUGAAGUCAUUAAUUGAAAACAACUUUCCCUUAUUUGUAUUUUAAUUUGACUAUAGACCUUUUCUCAAACCUUUGUUUGAGUUUGGAUUUGGAUUGACUAUGUGAUGAAGUCAUUUGUUAUUUGUAUUGUAAUUUGAUUAUGCAUCCUUGUUUGGAUUUGGAUUGAUGUUUUUUAUUAAGAAACUAUUUUGUUGAUGUUAUUUUUUCAAUUAUAUUAUAAUAAUAUUAUAUUUAUUUUUAAUUUUGACUUUUCUUUCACGUUUCGUAUCAGACUAUAUUUUGAUUUUGACGUUUCCGCGUAUCGGAUUGUAUCGGAAACCAAAACUCGUUUCCAUUUCCGUGUAACAUAGGUGGCUGUUAAGGGUGUAUGUGAACCCUUUAGGGUGAGUGAGUCUGGAUUGGAUUUCGCCGAUCUGGAUUUGAGGUUUCACGGGAAAGUAAGGCUUCUCGACGACACUAGCUGGACUGAGACGACAGGCUCAUGUGGUUCCAUGGACCAAUUCAUGUUACGAUCUGAAUGAAGUUAUUCGGGGCUCGAGUUUUGGAUCCAAGAUGGUGGACCAAGGUUCGACACCAGCUUGGCCAGAGGGAGAAUGUGGUUCCUUUGUUGAGAGGAUGAGUUUCACCUGGUUUUGGGGUUGUUGAGGUCUUUGGGUCUGAGUUUGGGUUCAAACCUAGGACUGAUCAAGACUAGGCUUAGGUCGUUGGGCUCGAAUUCCAAGCAAAGAAGGGUUAUUUUGUAGUUUUUCAUGAUGUGAUAGUUCCCCUUAAUACCAAUGGUAGGGGCACGACUUAGGACUCGAGUUAUACCAGCCUAAGCAUCAUAUGUAAUUUUAUUACUUCAUUCUUAAGUCAAAUGUACACCAAUUGAGGUCUUAAGUAGCUAAUAUUUAGUUUCAUGAAAUAAGUAGUAAUUAAGGUUAUUUUCUUUUGCUUCAGGCUCUUUAUAAGUCCAUGUGUCAACAGUAAAGUUAUCAGUCAUGGGCUUGUACUCCUAGCUUAACAAACUUAGUAGCUUUUAGUAAUUGAUAAAGCAAUACAGUGACUCCUAAUAAAUUUAAAAAAUAAAAAAAAGAUAUUAAGAAAGAGUUCAAAACUACCAUUUUCUUUAUUAAUUUUUCUGAUAACAAGAUGUGCUUACAGGAUAUGAGGCGACUUACGCAUGCUGACGAGGUAGUGACUUUCUAAUUAUGUCACAGAAGACCAGAAGAUGCUACCUAAGUAAUUGCUGAUGAUCAGUCAUGUUCACCUAGUCAGUUACUGACCAAAUGAUCCUUGGUCAACCACCGUUAGAUUUAAAUCCAAGGGCUGAAAAUAAAACAACUUAACUUUAAAAUAAUACUUCCCAUCAUUGUAUUUACAUCCAAAGGUGAUUGACUAUGAUUCUCUUGGUCAGUCACUGACCAAGUGAACACUAUUGUGCUAAUGAUUACACACAAUUUUAUUUUAUUUCGAUAACUUACACACAUAAAACAUUAGACACUUGCUUUUUCAUAAAAAGUGAGGAGGAAGGGAUGCUAAAAACUUAUCAACCUAAUCAAACUAGGAUGGAAAUUUUUCUCAAUCGUUUGUCACUUACUUAUUCCGGCUAAUCGGGUUCCAUAAGUGGAUGAUAAAUACAGUCCAUAUGUGUACUGCACCCGGUAUGAGAUUAAAGACAUCAACAUAUUACCCAUUAGUUUGUAUACGGUUUGGUGAGUUUCUUAUUUUCACCCCCUAUUACCAAUUAGUCUCCCACCGUGAACGAUACCAUUUAGUCUAAUGACAUAAUCACACUACUAAAUAUUGUGAAUAAUUUAGAGGAGGGGAGGGGGGGGAGGGAAAAUGUCGUUGGAAGCACGGAGCUAACUACGUUCUCCUCAACAUACAGUUGAGGAGUAACAAUACUAAAUCAAUACUAAAUACUAUAAAAAACUUUUUGGUGAAGAUCACGAGAAGGUUAUUAAAUUGAUUAUAGAUAUGAUCUUGAAAUGAAAGAAAUCAAAAACCAGAUACAAUGUCGUAUUCAAACAUUUCUCUUCUAUCCUCUCUCUUACAUUUAUGUCCCUUAGAACUUUAUCAUUAUUCUCAGCACCGAGUGAGAUUCGUCAAUGAUCAUUUUGUGCAGGUACACUUGAAACCUAGUCACCCAAUGUCUUCUACUACAAAAGACUAGAAAAGGUAUAUCAUGAGCAUAAUCAAACAUUUAUAGAAGAAUGGAGCACCCUUUACUCUGCUCAUUUGCAGCAUUUCAAACCCUUACAUCCUAAGCUCUUAUAGAAAGUUGAUAUAGAAGUGGUUAAUUUUGAUUGAUGUUGCCUACUUCGACUUUACUUACAUGCACCGGAUGUUGUUAUGGAUUUUUAUUGUUAAUUUAAUUAGAAAAUGAACUUAAAGAAAUUAAAGGAAACCUUAUCUCAUCACAUAUUUUCGAAAUAUGUCCACUAAACAAUGAGUUGAGUAACUAGCCUUAACUUCUUGGCGUGGGUGAAGAAGCAGAUGAAAAACUCUAAACAUGCCUCAUGUCGCCUAAUGCUAAUGCUAAUGAUGAUGAUACUGAUGAACCAGGGCCGGCCCUGUAUCAGUGGAGGCCCUAGCUAGACGUAAAAGUACAAAAUGAAUUUUUAUAGAAUUUUUUAUUAGCCAAUCAAUUAAAAUUUAAAACAUAAGCAUUCAUACUGGAAGGAAGUUAAUCAUUUUUAUGCUAACAAGUUAAUUAGGAAAGUCAAAUAUCAAAUUAAAUUCAACAAAAUGGAAAGAAAGAUAUAUCUAAAUUGUAAUUUGAACUUAUGGAAUUUGAUACUUGAAGUAGUUUCAUAAAUAAUUGAAGAAAUUAGCAAAUAACAAUUGAAAAUGAAUCUUGUUUUUAAAUUUCAACAAAAAUGAUAUGGAAGGAAUAAAAUUUUGGAGGCCCCUCAAUUACUAGAGGCCCUAAACACAAGCCUAGAAGCUCUUGCCUCAAGGUCGGUCAUGUGAUGAACCUCUACCACUGGGAGGCUGAGUGGGUGCGAGGUGGCCGCCGCUCAUCACUUUUUAGUGGUCAGAUAAUGUGAGGUUUAGUGGGUAACUCAACCAAUACAAUAGUCUUGGCCCUCAACCUAAAGCAUGCUUCAGAAUUUUAGAAAUUCAUUAAUUCAUAUAAGAAAGGGACGUUCCGUUCAUACCUCUAAUGACACGACCCACCCUAAAUUUCACCCUGAAACCCGGAGUAAGUCGUGCGGAGACCACCUCCAAGACCACCUCCAAGGAAAAUUUACCGAAAAGAUUGGUAAAACCUCCCUUGGAAAUGGACAAUCCUAACCCGAAAAAUUUCCAAUUUACACUCUUACUACAGCACGUCCAAAAAAUAUCACACAAAUAUCCAGCUAAAUAAAAGCAAAUAUUAUCCUUCAGAAAUUCUAAACAUAAAGUCAACCGACCGAGCACACCACCGAAAUAAUAUACAAUAAUCCCAAAGUAUUCAGAGCUACUAGACGCUAGCGGAAGCAAGAAAACACUAGUAGGUUAAACAGGUAACCUACUGAUGAAAACUGGCGGAAAAGCGGGUAACUAUGCCUCGUCUCCUACUAGGUCCAACCCGAACUCUGCAGACUGGGCAUUUUAAAACGAAGAGCCCAGGAGAAAACAUGUGGAACAGUUAGAGUGAGUGGACAAAAAUAAAUUAAAUAAAAAUAUUUCUUUAUGCUUCCCCAAUUUAAUUUCCAAAUAAAAUAAUACUGCAUGCAAUUGCUCAAAAGCGCUCAACUCAAAAACCGGCAACUUCACGACUAGCACCGGCUAGUCUCCAAAACUUAAUAAAAUACAGCCUCUCAGGCUAAAUUAUAUAUAAACAUAUAAACAUAUAUAAGUGUAUGAAUUCUAAGAACAAAUUAGAAAAAUAGAAAUUCAUACAAGGCUACUACGCUUGCGUCUAACGCUCACGUCACACCAUAAUGGAAUUGUACCUCAGUAUGGCGAAAAAAGCACGAGUGUAUAUACGUGUGGACUCCCUGUAUGAAAACCUAAAUAAACCAAAUAAGAAAAUAGUUUUCAUAUAGGGCUACUACGCUUGUGUCUAACACUCACGUCACACCAUAAUAGUAUUUUACCUCAUUAUGGCGGAUCAAACACGUAUGGCUAGAUAGCAUUUACAUAUACAUACUAUCAUCAUAAACAUCUAAUAAACAUAUCCACCUAAAAUCUCAUUUUCGGGAUCUCUCCAAAGGAGGAAAAUUGCCAAAUAUCCGAGAAAUAAAUAAAUCUCAGGAAAAGAAAUAAAUGAUCAACAGAUAAUUCAUCGCAUGCUUUUCAAUUAAAAUAAAGGUCCACUCACAAAUUAGGCCUAAGCCUGAUGACGCUCCAAGGCUUCCUCUGCUCGGGCCUCCUCUCGUCCUGUUCCAAAUAUAUAAUUAAUUUCCCACCAAAAAUCCAAUAAUUAAACAAAAUGGGCAAAAUUAAAUGUGAGCCUCCCACACACUCAUCAUUGCCCAAAUUCGCCAUUCUUAACUCAAUACGGCUCAAACUUCGCCGAACAUACCGGCAGCCGUAAAAACAACUUCCCACAGUAUACGACUUAAAUCCUACGGCCGGAUUCUACAUUAAUUAACCGCCAAAAAUACCAAACUUCGAAAAUUCACAAACCUAUCCAAAACUCAUCCAAAAAUUCCAUAACUCACUUCAAUAAACUCCCCUUAAUAAUCCAAAUCUAAAAACAUUAAAAUCUCCCAAAUAGCUCCGGCGCCGGCAGCGGCGGCCGGAGGCUGAUUCCGGCGACCUCCAAUUCCUAUGAAAUUUUAACAGCAUCUUCCUCUCAUCAUGCUCUACAACUUUCCUAACUAGCACAAACCCAAAAUCCAAGCCUAGCUAUGCCAAUCGAACAAAAACAUCAAAAACGCCCUAGAGCUUCCACCUCAAAUUUAUCCUUACCUAAAGCAAACCGGAGUGAGUCCUUUUAGGGCAAGGCAGCUGGGUUAGAGACCUACAAAACCGUACCAAGCUUUCCCUGAUUGGUGGCCGGAGGAGGGAGUUCUGGCGAAAAGCUUCCCGGCGUUUCCGGCGAGUUUUCUCUUCUUCCGGUGGGCUAACGGCUCGGGGGCUAGGCCGGGGAGGGAGAGGAGGUGAUGGGGGUCCGAACUGGGGUGGAGUGGUGGCUGGUGGCUGGCCGGAUGGCGGCAGCUGGCAGCUGGAAGUUUUCGGCGAAGGGAGAGAGAGCACAGGAGGGAGACAGAAGAGAAAAGAGAGAAGAAGAGAAAGAGAGGAAAUGGGUUGGGCCUCUCCAACCGGUCCAACUCCAUUAUUAUACCCAACUCCCACAAAAUAAAACACCCCGAAAAAAUAAUACCCGAAUUAAAAUUACCUUUUACUAGCUAAAAUUUACCAUUUUUACUGUCGUCAUAUUUUCCUCCUACGAAUAAUCCUCCGCACAUAAUCGUCCCCGAAACCCCUCUAGGGACCAAUUAAACUAUUAACUUAAUGACGGAGACGGUAAAAUUCUUAUUAUAAACAAACUAGUAAAUAAGGUAAAAAUAUAAGAGUCGGGAUGUGACAUCUAAAGCUAGCACUUGGACCUCUCAAUUUGUUUUUGUAAGUGAUUGUUAAUUUUAUUGAUUCACAUAAAAUUACUAAUAACGACACAAAAAAUGAACAACAGAAGUUCAAAUCAAUAAAUUAAUAUUUUAUUUAGGUAUAGAAUUGGUACAUGGUUUCCUUAACAAAAAAAAAAAAAAAAAAAGAAAUGGUACAAGGUUAGAUCGAGAUGAAUGUGAAAUCUGGGUUCAUAAAAAACUCAGUUUCACAAUUCAAGAGAUGAUGUAGGUAUAGAAUUGGUACCUACAUCACAAAUCAAUAUUUUAUUUAGGUAUAUAAUUAUUGGUACAUGAUU